AUUGAACGCUGGCGGCAUGCCUUACACAUGCAAGUCGAACGGCAGCACGGGUGCUUGCACCUGGUGGCGAGUGGCGAACGGGUGAGUAAUACAUCGGAACAUGUCCUGUAGUGGGGGAUAGCCCGGCGAAAGCCGGAUUAAUACCGCAUACGAUCUACGGAUGAAAGCGGGGGACCCUCGGGCCUCGCGCUAUAGGGUUGGCCGAUGGCUGAUUAGCUAGUUGGUGGGGUAAAGGCCUACCAAGGCGACGAUCAGUAGCUGGUCUGAGAGGACGACCAGCCACACUGGAACUGAGACACGGCCCAGACUCCUACGGGAGGCAGCAGUGGGGAAUUUUGGACAAUGGGCGAAAGCCUGAUCCAGCAAUGCCGCGUGUGUGAAGAAGGCCUUCGGGUUGUAAAGCACUUUUGUCCGGAAAGAAAGCCUUGGCCCUAAUACGGUCGGGGGAUGACGGUACCGGAAGAAUAAGCACCGGCUAACUACGUG
This 486-nucleotide ribosomal RNA is filed under the name uncultured bacterium. Its description in RNAcentral is "partial 16S ribosomal RNA". It matches the Rfam family "Bacterial small subunit ribosomal RNA", at positions 30 to 507 of the family's 1533-position model. The record is from RNAcentral.